RNAcentral lists this long non-coding RNA (1460 nucleotides) under Callithrix jacchus (white-tufted-ear marmoset). RNAcentral describes it as "lncRNA (ENSCJAG00000070573.1)". Lineage: Eukaryota; Metazoa; Chordata; Mammalia; Primates; Cebidae. The record is from RNAcentral.
CCGGGGGAUGGGGGAGGGAACAGUCCCUCCUAUUCAUCACUGUUGGAGGGGGGUGUCUGGGAGGAGGAGCCACAGGCCUCUUUUUAUUUUCAUGUUUGGAGGAUCUGUCCUGGUUAUUUCAAGGAUAAGGUGAGUUCCUUAAAUUUCCUAAGAAGUUGUCCUAUGAGUGUAGGUCCUAAAUUGUACUGUUCUUAUAAAGACACAGUGGGCCACCUAGGAGAAGAAUAUAAAAGGUAGAGGCUCCAUGUCUGGGUAUAUGCCCAAGAGAAAUUAAAACGUAAGUCAACGUGAAGAUUUAUACAUGAAUGUUCAUAGCAGCAUUGCUCAUAGCAGCCAAAAAGUGUAAACAACACACAUGUCCCUCAACUGAUGAAUGGAAAAAUAAAAUGUGGCACUGUAUGUCUCUACCAGAGAAUAUUAUUCAGCACUGAAAAGGAAUGAAGUAUUGAUACUUGGUACAACAUGGAUAAUCUUGAAAAUAUACUAGACAAGGAAGCCAGUCACAAAAUGACAAAUAUUAUCUGAUCCAAGUUAUAUGACAUGUCCAGAAUAAGCAAACUAAUAGAGACAGAAAACAGCUUAGUGGCUACCAGGGGCUGGGAGGAGGAAGUAAGUGACGGGGAGUGACUUCUUAAUGAGUCAGGUUUUCCCUUAGGAAUGACAACAAUGUUCUGGAAGCAGGUAGUAGUGACGGUUGCAUAACAUUGUGUACAAACUCAGUGCCACUGAAUUGUACACCAUAAAAUAUUUUAAGUGGUGAUUUUUGUGUUAUGUUUAUUUUACCACACAAAAGGGAAUGCAGUAUUGAUACAUACAAUAACAUCAAUGAAAGAAACUUGAAAACAUUGCAUUGAGUGAAAGAAGCCAGUAUGGAAGAUCACACAUUGCAUGAGUUGUAUGAAAUGUCCAGAAUAGGUUUGUCUAUUAAGACAGAAACAGUAGUCAAUAUUAGGAGCUGAUGGGAAGAGGUUGGAAACCGAUGGCUAGCAGCUGUGGGGUUUCUUCUUGUAGUAAUGAAAAUGAUCUAAAAUGGAUUACGGUGAUAGUUGUAUGACUCUGUGAAUAUACUAAAAGCCACUGAAUUGUACACUUAAAAGGAAUUAAUCAUAUGGUAUGUGAAUUAUAUCUCAAUAAAGCUGUUACACACACACACACACACACACACACACCAGUACCUAGACAGCAGGGUUCCAUGAACCACCUCUCAAGCAAUACAGGCAGAAAAUACGACUGAUUUAGCUUGCAUAAUGCUAGGUGAGGUGCCGAGACUCAAAACACCUGGGCUCCACACUAGGACAUAAAUUUUUUACUAAUUAGAGGACAAAAAGAAGGCUUUGGAUGUGGGCAUUGGAUCCUUCCCUCAAAUGUGCUGUGACUUCUUCCCCAUGAGACUUAGUGUGCUGGGCAGAGGAAGAAAGAGAGAAGGACAAAGAGAAACAGACAUGGAUGGCAUGAUGUCA